Fukomys damarensis (Damara mole-rat) is the source of this 114-nucleotide non-coding RNA. NCBI's taxonomy places the organism in Eukaryota, Metazoa, Chordata, Mammalia, Rodentia, Bathyergidae. The record is from Rfam.
GUCUAUGGCCAUACCACCCUGAACAUGCCCUAUCUCAUGUGAUCUUGGAAGCUAAGCAGGGUCGGGCCUGGUUCGUACUUAGAUGGGAGAUUGAAAUCCAGUUUGGCCAGCACC